Molecule: long non-coding RNA, 503 nt
Organism: Oncorhynchus tshawytscha (Chinook salmon)
Lineage: Eukaryota; Metazoa; Chordata; Actinopteri; Salmoniformes; Salmonidae
Exons: 4
Source: RefSeq, a predicted model, not a curated record
CAGGAAAGGUUUGGACAGGGUUGGAGGGGUUCAAUAUCAGGACCUGUCAUUGUACAAUACAAUGCAACCGACAUCAUGUAGGUGUUUACAGGCCUCAGGUGUAGGUGCAAAAUAUGUCAAGAUGAUCUUCUUGUCCUGCAGUGAGUAUACACAUCUUUGUCACCUCGUCCCUACCCACCAAGACAAGACAAGACCAGUCAAAACCGAACAGAACAGGGUGAGGGUCCACACCAUACGUCUCCAGCUCCUGGGCCUUCUGCAGGAAGUUCAGCUCGGACUCUUCUGGAGUCUGUCCUCUGGGAGAUGAGGACACAACAGACAGAUUACUGUGGGCUGUGUGGUGAUGGAUGGAAAAGGUUCCAGCGGUAAGCUAAUGAUUUGUAAAGGGAAUUUCCUUUCAUUCAUUUCAGUGAGUGAAAGAUGAGAGAGACCAACACUAGAGGGCAGCAGAGGUAAGAUCCCAUAGGUGGUCUACAGUAGUAGAGUCUGUAUAUAUGGAUACU